Schistosoma haematobium is the source of this 45-nucleotide non-coding RNA. NCBI's taxonomy places the organism in Eukaryota, Metazoa, Platyhelminthes, Trematoda, Strigeidida, Schistosomatidae. The record is from Rfam.
CUCUAGCUGAUGAGUCGCAAAUAGGACGAAAUGUGCGUUCUGGAU